Molecule: long non-coding RNA, 1851 nt
Organism: Salvia splendens (bonfire salvia)
Lineage: Eukaryota; Viridiplantae; Streptophyta; Magnoliopsida; Lamiales; Lamiaceae
Exons: 4
Source: RefSeq, a predicted model, not a curated record
CUCAGCCCUAGGCAACUUGUUCUCCGCCUUGCACAACUGGAUUACCAAAUUGCGUCGAUCUCUUCCCGGUGAGGUGAGUGUUGGUGGUCGAUUAGCAGUAUCCUCACCUCAACGCAGACCACGUUUCACUGAUUCGUGACAUUACACUGAUUCGUGGGAUCUCCAAUAAGGUUGUUUCUAAUCACUUGACGAACGGGUUGGUUUUCUCCCGCAAACACGCAUCUGUUCGUUCAUUUCCCUAAAGUUAAGGUAAUAUUUUUUUGGGCGUUUGUUGAGUGUUUGUUUAGUUUAGCUCAGAUUUGAAGUGUUCUCUAUAUUGUUAUUUUUUAGUCAUUGUAAGUUGAAAUUGUGGGUUAUUUGUGUCGACUCUAUUGUGCUUUCUGUCCCAAAAUGCACUCGUGAGAUGUGCCGAGCACUCGCCGGUUGGGUACAACAAAUCAAUUUAUGAUUUCACUCCAUUAUACAACCUAUUUCGGUUUCAUUCAGUUGUUUGUUUUGAAGAAAUUGUUGCCCGACCAUUAAUUACGCUCGAGUCCACAUGAUGCUUGAAGACAUAAUGUCCUCAUACCGCGUCGAAACCACUAGGUUGAUAAUUAGAUUUCGCAAAGCAAGAACUGAACGCCGCAAACGCCGAAUACUAGAACACGCACGCAAGUACAGUGUCCUCAACAAAAUCCCUGAUCAAAUCAAACAUUUGGACCGGCUCGUGCAUGUCACAGAAGCAGAUUGCAUUGCAAAUCUACGGAUGGAUUGCAACACGUUUGGAAAGUUAUGUCGGAUUCUAACCGAGCGUGGGGGAUUAAGGAUUGGUAAAUGCUUGGGUGUUGAAGAACAGAUUGCUAUAUUCUUGGGAGUUCUUGCACACCACAACAAAAACCGAGUGCAACGUUUUGCAUUUUGGAGAUCGGGUUCAACCGUUUCCCACUAUGUGAACCAAUUCUAGGUGCGGUUAUUAGUCUACACAUUGACCUACUAACUCAACCGACACCGGUGUCCGAGGGUUGUACUGACCACCGCUGGAAGUGGUUCAAGGGUUGCCUGGGGGCCCUCGACGAGACACACAUUAAUGUUUUGGUGCAUGCUACUGACAAACCUAGGUAUCGAACGCGGAAUGGUCAGAUUGCUAUCAACACCUUAGCGGUCUGCGACCGCAAUAUGCAAUUCAUAUAUUUCUUACCUGGAUGGGAGGGAUCGGCAGACGACUUAUGUGUACUGCGGGAUGUUGUGGCUCGGCAUAAUGGGUUUAAGGUUCCCCAAGGAUGUUAUUACUUGUGCGAUAAUGCGUACGUGAACAACAACGGCUUCCUAACACCGUAUAAAGGGGCCCGUUAUCACCUUAAGGAGUGGGGUCCAGGUAUGCAGCCCCGCAGAACCCAAAUGAACUAUUCAACAUGAGACAUACGAAAGCCAAAAAUGUGGUCGAGCGUGCUUUUGCGGUCCUUAAAAUGCGAUGGGGCAUCUUACGCAGUGCAUCAUACUAUCCCAUCAAGACAGAAAUCCGACUAAUAAUGGCGUGUUUACUCCUGCAUAACUUUAUUAGACGGGAAAUGGUAGUAGACCCCGUUGAAGCUGAGAUUGAGGGCACGAUCCCUCCCACAACAAUGGAUGAAGAAGGUGUUGCACAAGACUACGUACAAUUUGUAGAACCCUCCGCGGAGUGAACAGCGAUGCGCAACAAUUUGGCUUUGAAUAUGUGGAACAACAAAUAGUGUUGCUUGGUGUCGUGCACUUGUUGAAUAACUGAAUUUAUUUUAACAUCAACAACUGUGAACUAUGUUGAAGUUAUAAACUUUCAAAAUUUGUGUUUUUUUUUUCAUGCUCUAAUUUGGGAAAAUAUGAUUUUUGGUGUCA